Molecule: long non-coding RNA, 1405 nt
Organism: Lagopus leucura (white-tailed ptarmigan)
Lineage: Eukaryota; Metazoa; Chordata; Aves; Galliformes; Phasianidae
Exons: 3
Source: RefSeq, a predicted model, not a curated record
UCCCAUUUUUGGCUACAAGAGCUCUGAGGUUUCAAGCUGAAGAUGAGAAACUUGCACUUUUGUGGUUUGGGGUGUAAGAAUAUGAAAACCAGGGGAUUUUCACCCUGACCCCAUAUCCCGCAGCGUUCCAGCACGUCUGCUUAUCCCGGCAGUGUUUAUGUCGGAUCUGAGCCACCAAAUACCAGGCCACCUCCUUUUUCUAGCUUUUAUUUUUAUUUUUCUGGUUGGUUCUGCUGCCCGCUGGAUCUUGCAGAGUAACAGUUGAAGACAGAAAUGCCCGAGAGCGAAAAAAGAGCUUUGCUGGGUGCACAUGGUGUUGAUUCAGCCUUGAGAUGAUGUGUAGAUGACACCCAAAGCCUCAGUGGGAUAAUCUGCCAUCUUUGAACAUCCAACUCUUCACUUGGAAAGACCAACAUUUAAUAAUUGUUCCACAUCUCCCCAAAUUGUUUUUCUUCUCCUAUUGUCUGCAUUGCCACAUCUUUUGGGAGAAGGAAUUUUUCUUGUUCUCCCCAAGCUGGACUCACAGAGACAUCAUGAAUUACAGUGCUCCAUCACUUUGAUGUCUCUGGUGCUUUGGGCUAAGUUUCUGGGAAACGGUGCUUAAGGCACGGGGAAGUGGAGAGCUGGGAAAAGGACACAGCAGUCCUUGAAGACAAACACAAUUAUGGGUGAGAAGCCUCUCCUUAGAAUGACUCAGAGCACUUUGAUGCUCUCUGCUGGCUCCGGAUGCUGAGCUGCCCACAUCCUACCAGGACAGGCCUAGGACAUGUCCUGCACACUGCACCUCAUGCCAGCAAAAGAAUGGUCUGGUAGCAGGAGAUGCUCCAGCUCUCAUCAGGAAACAGGCUUAUGGCCACAGCUUGGAGGAGGACUCAUAGCCCUGGGGCCAAGGUAGGCAGACAGAAGCCUAGCAGAAGUUCAGCAUUGCACAGCAAGCAACUGCCCAAAGCAGGGAAGGCUGAGGACAUACAGGUCACCCUGCUGGGAAGGCUGAUGGGCUUGAACCUUGGUUCAAAUGAGACAAGUGCAUGGUGCAAGGCUGAUGGUGCACCAGCUGCUGGAAUCCUCUUGCUUUCGGAGCUUGUUGCUCAAAGCUCAUUGCUCAAAGCCCUGCUGCUCCCUUCCAGACUUGCUUUCAAAGCGCUUUCCUCUCUUAUACAUAUUUCUCAAUAAGGAUAUAGAAAUAAAUUACGUGCAGAAAAAAAAAAAAAAACCAGCUUGCCUUGUUCAGGCCUAUUCGUUCCCAAUGGUUUUGUCCCAGAAUAAACACAGACAUGUUUUGAAGCUUGUUGUGAAAGGAGAUUGACUCUAAAAUCUACUUCCUGGCUUUGAAAACUGCAGACCAGCAUGGCUUUUAUUAUUAACCGGUCAUUAGAGUGAGUGACAUAUAGAAGGAAUAAUUGCU